AGGUGAAAUUUGGUGCCCGGGAAUAGGGUGGUUGAGCAUAGGUUUCAAGAUAUUCUUAGGCUGUCAAGGCUUGGGGCUAAAAGAGGAUUAGAUACCCUGUUAUACCGAGCUAAAAUGUUUCGCCCGAGUAGUAAAUAGUUAUGACCUCGAAACUUAAAGAAUUUGGCGGUACUCCAGUCUCGUUAGAGGAAUCUGUUGUGUAAACGAUAAACCACGAAUUAUCUUACUCUCUUUUGUAUGUCAGCCUGUAUACCGCCAUUGGUUAGAUGAUUUUUAUAAAAUUUAUCGUAAUAUUCAAAAAUUACCAUAUUAGGUCAAGGUGCAGCCGAUAGGAGAGAAAUUAUGGAUUACAAUGUUACUAGGAUAAGACGGAUUGAUGGGAGAACGUUCAUCAUGAAGGUGGAUUUAAUAGUAAGGUCCGUUUAAUAAGCGAGCUUGAUAGUAGCUCUGGGGUAUGUA
This 459-nucleotide ribosomal RNA is filed under the name Plesionika narval. RNAcentral describes it as "12S ribosomal RNA". It matches the Rfam family "Microsporidia small subunit ribosomal RNA", at positions 562 to 1187 of the family's 1311-position model. Lineage: Eukaryota; Metazoa; Arthropoda; Malacostraca; Decapoda; Pandalidae. The record is from RNAcentral.